RNAcentral lists this ribosomal RNA (1484 nucleotides) under Staphylococcus aureus. RNAcentral describes it as "bacterial SSU rRNA". It matches the Rfam family "Bacterial small subunit ribosomal RNA". The record is from RNAcentral. Lineage: Bacteria; Bacillati; Bacillota; Bacilli; Caryophanales; Staphylococcaceae.
GAGAAGCUUGCUUCUCUGAUGUUAGCGGCGGACGGGUGAGUAACACGUGGAUAACCUACCUAUAAGACUGGGAUAACUUCGGGAAACCGGAGCUAAUACCGGAUAAUAUUUUGAACCGCAUGGUUCAAAAGUGAAAGACGGUCUUGCUGUCACUUAUAGAUGGAUCCGCGCUGCAUUAGCUAGUUGGUAAGGUAACGGCUUACCAAGGCAACGAUGCAUAGCCGACCUGAGAGGGUGAUCGGCCACACUGGAACUGAGACACGGUCCAGACUCCUACGGGAGGCAGCAGUAGGGAAUCUUCCGCAAUGGGCGAAAGCCUGACGGAGCAACGCCGCGUGAGUGAUGAAGGUCUUCGGAUCGUAAAACUCUGUUAUUAGGGAAGAACAUAUGUGUAAGUAACUGUGCACAUCUUGACGGUACCUAAUCAGAAAGCCACGGCUAACUACGUGCCAGCAGCCGCGGUAAUACGUAGGUGGCAAGCGUUAUCCGGAAUUAUUGGGCGUAAAGCGCGCGUAGGCGGUUUUUUAAGUCUGAUGUGAAAGCCCACGGCUCAACCGUGGAGGGUCAUUGGAAACUGGAAAACUUGAGUGCAGAAGAGGAAAGUGGAAUUCCAUGUGUAGCGGUGAAAUGCGCAGAGAUAUGGAGGAACACCAGUGGCGAAGGCGACUUUCUGGUCUGUAACUGACGCUGAUGUGCGAAAGCGUGGGGAUCAAACAGGAUUAGAUACCCUGGUAGUCCACGCCGUAAACGAUGAGUGCUAAGUGUUAGGGGGUUUCCGCCCCUUAGUGCUGCAGCUAACGCAUUAAGCACUCCGCCUGGGGAGUACGACCGCAAGGUUGAAACUCAAAGGAAUUGACGGGGACCCGCACAAGCGGUGGAGCAUGUGGUUUAAUUCGAAGCAACGCGAAGAACCUUACCAAAUCUUGACAUCCUUUGACAACUCUAGAGAUAGAGCUUUCCCCUUCGGGGGACAAAGUGACAGGUGGUGCAUGGUUGUCGUCAGCUCGUGUCGUGAGAUGUUGGGUUAAGUCCCGCAACGAGCGCAACCCUUAAGCUUAGUUGCCAUCAUUAAGUUGGGCACUCUAAGUUGACUGCCGGUGACAAACCGGAGGAAGGUGGGGAUGACGUCAAAUCAUCAUGCCCCUUAUGAUUUGGGCUACACACGUGCUACAAUGGACAAUACAAAGGGCAGCGAAACCGCGAGGUCAAGCAAAUCCCAUAAAGUUGUUCUCAGUUCGGAUUGUAGUCUGCAACUCGACUACAUGAAGCUGGAAUCGCUAGUAAUCGUAGAUCAGCAUGCUACGGUGAAUACGUUCCCGGGUCUUGUACACACCGCCCGUCACACCACGAGAGUUUGUAACACCCGAAGCCGGUGGAGUAACCUUUUAGGAGCUAGCCGUCGAAGGUGGGACAAAUGAUUGGGGUGAAGUCGUAACAAGGUAGCCGUAUCGGAAGGUGCGGCUGGAUCACCUCCUUUCUAAGGA